CCUACGGGUGGCAGCAGUGAGGAAUAUUGGUCAAUGGGCGCUAGCCUGACCCAGCCAAGUAGCGUGAAGGAUGACUGCCCUCUGGUUUGUAAACUUCUUUUAUAUGGUAAUAAAGUGCAGUAUGUAUACUGCUUUGCAUGUACCUUAUGAAUACGGAUCGGCUAACUCCGUGCCAGCAGCCGCGGGAAUACGGAGGAUGCGAGCGUUAUCCGGAUUUAGUGGGUGUAAAGGGAGCGUAGGCGGGUUGUUAAGUGCGUUGUGAAAGUUUGCGGCUCAACCGUAAAAUUGCAGUUGAUACUGGCAUCCUUGAGUACAGGAGAGGUAGGCGGAAUUCGUGGUGUAGCGGUGAAAUGCUUAGAUAUCACGAAGAACUCCGAUGGCGAAGGCAGCCUGCUGGACUGUAACUGACGCUGAUGCUCGAAAGUGUGGGUAGCAAACAGGAUUAGAUACCCGGGUAGUC
This 460-nucleotide ribosomal RNA is filed under the name uncultured bacterium. RNAcentral describes it as "partial 16S ribosomal RNA". It matches the Rfam family "Bacterial small subunit ribosomal RNA", at positions 338 to 795 of the family's 1533-position model. The record is from RNAcentral.